CUCACAUCCCUCCAUGGCUUCUGCUGUGUUCCUGGAUUGUGGGUUUCCCCACCAAGCCUUCUACUGCUUGUCAGCUUCAGCCUCUUGGACUCAACCGAUUUUGCUGUCCUGGAUUUUUCUCUUGUGGACUCUGUUCAACUCCUGUCUGUUUUUGGAUGCUCCCUGGUCUUCAGUCUGCCAGUUUUGUUUCCCCACUAGCUUCUGGGUUCUCCUAGCCUGCCUAGCCUUUAGCUCUGUUUUCCCCUGGUUUUUGUAAGUACAUUGCUGUGUUGUUUGGUUGAGGUUAUUCCUGUUUGGUUUUGUGGUUUUUGUAGGUUUGGUAGUGUAGUUUGUUUUAGUGUUAGUUGUGGUUUAGUUUGUCUGCUGGAGUCCGUUUCACGAAGUGGGUUCAACAAACUGUUGUUGGUUAAAUCAAGUCGGAGUAGUUUCCCCCGGAAUUAAGCACGUGCGCCACAGGUCUGAAAAGCCAGUAUCAAUGGAGCGCCGAUUCGACGAGUCACCGUGGCAACGGGUAAACAGAGGACGACACCGUUUGAAUUGGAAAUCUUAAUGCGCUUAUAUAGCGAGUUUGAACACGUUUUUAGAAAGAAGUGCAACACCGCUGCAAACGAGAGGGAAAUGGUGUGGGAGAGCAUUGCUGCCCGAGUCAAUGUGUAAGUUGAAACCACAAUAAUAUUGCAGGAGAAAAGUGUUUAAUGGUAACCUGUUAUUUCAUUUAGGUGCAAGAGGGAGAUGGCCUGGGAGAGCAUUGCUGCCCGAGUCAAUGUGUGCAAUCCUGUGAGGGAGAAGUGCAUGUGGCAAACAGUCAGGACUGCCUUCCGGUAGAGAUCACCCGACCCCCCUGGAUGUGGACUCACCCGGUUCAUCUUCUACCUUCACCUCAGCCAUCCUUCGCCCAGCUCCGGCUUAACCCUCACCAGUCGUCUCCGCAGCCGAGGCGAUUCCACAAGCAUCUACUCUGCGCGAUUCAAAGUAAUAGAAGAGUCGGAGAAAGCUGAGAGUGGCGAGUCGGAACACUCAGGAGACACACAGGAGAGUUUGGGAGGCGAUACAGCAGUAUCAAGUCGAAGACAAGAGGAUAUGAACGAGACGACAUAUGAGGGUGGCUCUCUUAUGAGACUUCAUGGGAUUUACCUGAAGCAGCAGCACAUGAGCCUGCAGUGGCACAAGGUGUAGAGGAGGAGGACAGAUGUACAGGAUGCGCUUGAUACACUACGUGUCAUGCAGAAGUUAAAAGUUAUUCUCCUCGCUAUACUUCUGUUUUUCUGUCCCCAGACCGCUAUUGUUUUCUUUAAUACAAUUCUGACAAUAAACUUUUGUACCUUUUGCAGAUGUGUCUAUGCUAUUGUUUUAUUUGUGAAGGUUAGCAAGAUUACGUGACAAAUUAAACACCAAAACAUUCAAACAGCUGUUUUAAGAAUAUUCCAGUUUGAUAAAUCAGUAUUGCUUUGGUGUAAUUCAGUCAACGGAAUUAUGAACCAUAAAGGAGUUUGUGUUAAAACAUGUUAAAUCCCAUUAAACAUAAAUGCAUUAUUAGGGAAUACAGAAUUGUUUGGUUCAGACUGUUGACUCUUUUCCUACCAGUGUCUUAACAGACAAAAUGAGAAGUUAUGAUGCAAUCACAUAAGUCACAAAAUAGUUUAUUAGUCAGCAGCAAAAUCUAAACUGUUUACAAUGUGCAAAGUACAAACUGUGGUGGGCCUCUCCUACAGUAGAGGGCUAAAAGUAAAAUUACAUACAACUACAGUUGCUGGUCAUAUAAUUAGAAUAUCAUGCCAAAGUUUAUUUUUUUCAGUAAUUCCAUUCACCAAGUGAAACUUGUAUAUUCUAUUCAUUCGUGAC
Amphiprion ocellaris (clown anemonefish) is the source of this 1842-nucleotide long non-coding RNA. Lineage: Eukaryota; Metazoa; Chordata; Actinopteri; Pomacentridae. The record is from Ensembl.